Equus asinus (donkey) is the source of this 2619-nucleotide long non-coding RNA. NCBI's taxonomy places the organism in Eukaryota, Metazoa, Chordata, Mammalia, Perissodactyla, Equidae. The record is from Ensembl.
CGCAGCCGUGGGGGAGCGGGGGGCUCCCUGAUUCAGAGGCCUCCAGCCCAGCCUCCCCACCCCCCGCGCAGAUGGCUGGCUCAGCCCAGCUGAGAGGGAGGAGCUCGGAAGAGAGGAGCCAGGCCGCGUGGCCUGCAGUGGGGGGCGCAGGGCAGAUGGAAGCGUCUGCAGGCCGGGCUGGGGGGACCUCGUGCACCUGGACGUUGGCCGAGCUGCGGGUCGCACAGACGCAGGGGCAGCGAGCUCCCCAGGGAGGGGCAGGCGGGAGGGGGAGGGGACAGUGACGUUGCUGUUUUCAGAGACAGGAAGGAGGGCUCAGGGGAACCUCGCAGGCGGGGCUGGGAGGCUGCGGGCAGGGACUCGGGCCGAGCACACAGCCACAGCCGGCUGUCCUGUCUCCUGGGGCCUCGGGGCCACUUCCUCCCGCCGCAGAGAGCUGCGUCCUCAGCGCGGCGCUGAAGCUGAGCCUCCUGGUCCUGGGCUGGGCGUCAGCUGCCGGGCGGGGCCUCCCGGGACCACCGGCUGACACGAGAUGACCUGGCUCGGACUGGCCAAGAUUCGUCCCUCCCCCCGCCAUGGCCACGUCCCUCUGCUGUGACCUUCCAGGGCUCCACUGGGCAUGAGCGCUCGUCAGCCCGGCGUUGGAGAGCCCUGCGUGGCACCUCACGGAUAGUCACACGCCUCGGAGAGGGCCAGCCCGCUGCGUCCCCAGGCUCCAGAACCAGGCCCACCACCCAGCAGGUGCUCAGUCAUGACUUGCUGCGACUGUGAAAUGCGUGCACAGCGUCGCCUGCCCUGGAAGACAGCAGAGGCAUGUCUCAGUGCACCGUGCCACUGCCGCCCGCCGUCAUCACCAUCCCCUGGAAGUGGCCUCUCUGCUGCAUACCCAGCCCCGGGAGCCACCUGCGCUCUGGGCCUCGGCCCCUCACUCCUCCACACGGCCCCCGUGUGGGCAUUGCUGCAGCAGGAUUCUCUUUUCAAAACUUUAUUUCUUCCCCAGUUUUAUUGGGAUCUAACUGACAUACAAUGUAUUAGUUUGGGGCGUACAACACGAUGACUUGAUAGAUGUGGGUAUCACGAUGAGCACCAGAAUCGCUCAGUUAGCGUCCAUCGCACACAGCCACACAGUCUUUAUCUUGUCAGGGGAACUUUGAUGAUUUGCUCUCUGGCAAGUUUCAAAUAUACGCUCCGGCCUCGUCACCUUCAGGCGGGAUUCCUCAGCGAUAUUCAUUCCCGUUUAUUCCCCGUCAUUCUCCCUCCUCCGAUUCCAAGACAGUUUGUCGCUCUGUGAAUUUUCUUGAUUUUGUUUUUACCAAGCAGGGAGUAGAAGCUUCUGGCAGACAGUUAUCUAUCUGCCUUGUAUUAAGCUGGGCUCUCUAGAGACACAGACCAAUGGGAUAUCCACAUCCACAUCCAUAUCCAUAUCAAUAUCUACAUCCACAUAUCAUCUGUAUCUAUGUCUGUCUAUCUAUCUAUCCAUCUGUCUGUCUGUCUGUCUAUCUACUUGUCUAUCUCCCUAUCUAGAGACUCAUUAGAAGGAAUUGGCUCACGUGGUUAUGGAGGCUGAGAAGCCCCACGAUUUGCCGUCUGCACGCUGGAGGCCCAGGAGGCCGUGGUGUAAGCUCCAGUCCGACUCUGGGUCCAAAGGCAGGGAAGACGGACGUCCCUGCGUGAAGACAGUCAGGCAGAGAGAGUGAAUCCUCCCUUACUCCCUUUUUGUUCUAUUCAGGCCUUCAACUGAUUGGACAAGGCCCACCCACAUUGGGGAGAACAAUCUGCUUCAGUCAGUCUAUGGAUUCAAAUGUUAAUCUCAUCCAGAAACACACCCAGAAUGGUGUUUGACCAAAUACCAGGGCAGCCCUUGGUCCAGCAAGCUGAUACAUAAAAUUAGCCAUCUCAUGCCUUUUGUGAAAACCCCAUGUAUUAAUCAGUCAGGGUAUAGGCUCAGCUGCUGUAACAAAGAAACCCCCAAACACACAGGUUCAGACAGGAGAGGAGUUUGUUUCUGCUGGGAGAUGUGCCAAGGGAGGCGAAGGCAGGAGAGUCUGGGGACCCUGUCCCUCCGUCUUGUUCCAGCAGCCCCAGGAUACAGUCCUUCACGGCCCCGGGGGGACGUGGAGCCAGAACCAGACCCACGUCUAGCUCUCAGAAGCGGGAGAGAAAGACAGUGGCGGGCAGGCGGCUGCUGCGAAAGUGGCACGACCGUUUCUGCGGCAUCCGACGGGAGCGAGGGCGUGGGGUGGGUGGCGGCUCAGCAUCCGGUCCCAGCUGCGCGCUCUCACAGGGCUGGGCGUCCCAGACCCAAUGUGAGCAGCUAUCGGCUCUGGAGCGGCGCCGAGGGAGAGGGGGUUCCACAGGCUGGAGUCGCAGAGCCAGGCUGGCCUGGUCACCUCAUCCCGCGGUGCUGCCGGGAGGGGACAGGAUCUGGGCGCUGCCUCUGCGCCCGCAUGGACGGCUGCCCGCCAUGCAGAUGCUGCGGAGCUUCCACCAGAGGGACCGCGGGCUGCAUCCUGCACAUCUUACGGGCGGCCGGAGGGACCCCUCGGUCAUUUGGUCUCUCAUCCGACACAGCACGGAGCAGCCCACUCCUGAGACCGAGACUGAAUUUCCUUGGAAUCG